This 481-nucleotide ribosomal RNA is filed under the name uncultured bacterium. RNAcentral describes it as "partial 16S ribosomal RNA". It matches the Rfam family "Bacterial small subunit ribosomal RNA", at positions 28 to 507 of the family's 1533-position model. The record is from RNAcentral.
GAUGAACGCUGGCGGCGUGCUUAACACAUGCAAGUCGUACGAAGCAUUUGCGACAGAUUUUUUCGGAAUGAAGUUGCUUAUGACUGAGUGGCGGACGGGUGAGUAACGCGUGGGUAACCUGCCUUGUACUGGGGGAUAGCAGCUGGAAACGGCUGGUAAUACCGCAUAAGCGCACAAUGUUGCAUGACAUGGUGUGAAAAACUCCGGUGGUAUAAGAUGGACCCGCGUCUGAUUAGCUAGUUGGUGAGAUAACAGCCCACCAAGGCGACGAUCAGUAGCCGACCUGAGAGGGUGACCGGCCACAUUGGGACUGAGACACGGCCCAGACUCCUACGGGAGGCAGCAGUGGGGAAUAUUGCACAAUGGAGGAAACUCUGAUGCAGCGACGCCGCGUGAGUGAAGAAGUAAUUCGUUAUGUAAAGCUCUAUCAGCAGGGAAGAUAGUGACGGUACCUGACUAAGAAGCGCCGGCUAAAUACGUG